Molecule: ribosomal RNA, 400 nt
Filed under: uncultured archaeon
Lineage: Archaea
Description: bacterial SSU rRNA
Rfam family: Archaeal small subunit ribosomal RNA
Source: RNAcentral
UCAGGAAAAUAGGGUAGCAUGUCAUUGAGACAGGGACAACCCCGGGAACUGGCGCUAAUCCCUGAUAGGUGAGAAAUAUUGGAAUGGAUUCUCGCUCAAAGGGUGCUUAGAUCAUGCUUCUAGACUUCGCCCAAGGAGGCGNCCCCGCCCGAUCAGGUUGUUGGUGAGGUAACGGCUCACCAAGCCAAUAACCGGUACGGGCCGUGAGAGCGGAAGCCCGGAGAUGGGCACUGAGACAAGGGCCCAGGCCCUACGGGGCGCAGCAGUCGCGAAAACUCCGCAAUACACGAAAGUGUGACGGGGCCAUCNCCGAGUGCCAUCCGCUGAGGAUGGCUUUUCCCUAGUAUAUAAAGCUGGGGGAAUAAGGAGAGGGCAAGCCUGGUGUCAGCAGCCGCGGUAA